GACGAACGCUGGCGGCGUGCCUAAUACAUGCAAGUAGGACGCAGUUGCGAACGGGUGAGUAACGCGUAGGUAACUACCUAUUAGAGGGGGAUAACUAUUGGAAACGAUAGCUAAUACCGCAUACUAGUAGAUGGACCUGCGUUGGAUUAGAUAGUAGGUCAGGUAAUGGCCUACCUAGGCAACGAUACAUAGCCGACCCUGGAGGGUGAGCGGCCCCACUGAGACUGAGUCAAGGCCCAGACGCCUACGGGAGGCAGCAGUAGGGAAACUGCGGCAAUUGGGGGAACCCUGACCGAGCCACGCCGCGUGAGUGAAGAAGGUUUUCGGAUCGGAAAGCUCUGUUGUUAAGGAAGCGGUACUUAACCAGAAAGGGACGGCUAACUACGUGCCAGCAGCCGCGGUAAUAC
This 407-nucleotide ribosomal RNA is filed under the name uncultured bacterium. Its description in RNAcentral is "partial 16S ribosomal RNA". It matches the Rfam family "Bacterial small subunit ribosomal RNA", at positions 28 to 526 of the family's 1533-position model. The record is from RNAcentral.